This 465-nucleotide ribosomal RNA is filed under the name Vreelandella stevensii. RNAcentral describes it as "partial 16S ribosomal RNA". It matches the Rfam family "Bacterial small subunit ribosomal RNA", at positions 338 to 795 of the family's 1533-position model. The record is from RNAcentral. Lineage: Bacteria; Pseudomonadati; Pseudomonadota; Gammaproteobacteria; Oceanospirillales; Halomonadaceae.
CCUACGGGUGGCAGCAGUGGGGAAUAUUGGACAAUGGGCGAAAGCCUGAUCCAGCCAUGCCGCGUGUGUGAAGAAGGCCUUCGGGUUGUAAAGCACUUUCAGUGGGGAAGAAAGCCUUGGGGCUAAUACCCUCGAGGAAGGACAUCACCCACAGAAGAAGCACCGGCUAACUCCGUGCCAGCAGCCGCGGUAAUACGGAGGGUGCGAGCGUUAAUCGGAAUUACUGGGCGUAAAGCGCGCGUAGGCGGUCUGAUAAGCCGGUUGUGAAGGCCCCGGGCUCAACCUGGGAACGGCAUCCGGAACUGUCAGGCUAGAGUGCAGGAGAGGAAGGUAGAAUUCCCGGUGUAGCGGUGAAAUGCGUAGAGAUCGGGAGGAAUACCAGUGGCGAAGGCGGCCUUCUGGACUGACACUGACGCUGAGGUGCGAAAGCGUGGGUAGCAAACAGGAUUAGAUACCCCUGUAGUC